UUUUUUAUGCUACUGAAUUAGAUCUUCCCUUGUUUCAUAAUUUGGCUCUCUUAAACUUCAUGUUGGUGGUUGUUUAUGGCAUGUGCUCCCACACUAGCUUCAUCGGGCUCCUAAUCUUGCAGUACUUGUCUUUGAGAAGGAAUGCGAUGAGGAAGAUACUUCCAUAAUAGAAUGGAUGUCCUAUGAGGACGUUCCUAUAUGUAUAUCAUUGCACCUCAAGACAUUUCAUUUUAUAGGAUUUAAAGGGUUAACGUAUGAACUGGAAUUUGUUGGACAUAUCCUUAAGACGGCAAGAUUCUUAAAGACGAUGACAGUCUCUUCUGCUGAUAUAGAUUCAGAGGAGCAGUUUCGUGUUCUCAAUGAGUUAUUGAUGUUACCAAGGGAAUCCAGGACUUGUCAAAUUGCAUUUAGCUGAAAUAUAUUUCAUUAUGAUUUCUCUCUGUUACUGAAGCACUGUAUUUGGUUCAUUUGAAUCAAGGCAGGUAAAAGUAGGAAAGAUAAAUCCAACAAGUCUGAUUUACUGUGCUUUUAAGUAGUGAUGUUGCCUUGUUCUUUUAAUUCAUACCCAAGUCUUGGAAAAUGUUGUUAACCUAUUUUUAUUUUAGUAGGAACAAUAUGACAGAGCUGCUGAUGUUAAAAUCAAAAUAUAUUGUGAGUGAAUUAUUGUGGCAGCUUU
Long non-coding RNA from Quercus robur (English oak), 676 nucleotides. RefSeq lists it as uncharacterized. NCBI's taxonomy places the organism in Eukaryota, Viridiplantae, Streptophyta, Magnoliopsida, Fagales, Fagaceae. The transcript has 2 exons. The record is from RefSeq and is a predicted model, not a curated record.